This 315-nucleotide long non-coding RNA is filed under the name Ananas comosus (pineapple). RNAcentral's name for it is "long non-coding RNA (ACOM_LNC036031)". The record is from RNAcentral. Lineage: Eukaryota; Viridiplantae; Streptophyta; Magnoliopsida; Poales; Bromeliaceae.
UUUAUUUGUUACAGGAAAUGAAUUGCUGUUGAAAUAGGAGCUGAAGCAUUUUUUUUGUCGUUUUUAGGUAUUUUCUAUUUUUAAAGUUUAGAGAGUCAGGAAUGAUGUUGAACUGUAUAUCAAAUAUUAUUAUUCUAUUGCCUUUAAAUUGAUGUUGCUAUUAUUUUGUUUUUAAGCUGUUGUGGAUCAGAAGUCACUUAGCCUUUUAAAUUGUUGUUAAAAGAAUAAUUUUGUUUACUUAAAUAUUUUGUUCGAUAUUUUGUAUAUGUUUUGCUUAUAAAAUAUAAACCGUGUAUUUUUAUAUUUUAUUUUAUU